This 253-nucleotide ribosomal RNA is filed under the name uncultured bacterium. Its description in RNAcentral is "partial 16S ribosomal RNA". It matches the Rfam family "Bacterial small subunit ribosomal RNA", at positions 524 to 776 of the family's 1533-position model. The record is from RNAcentral.
UACGGAGGGUGCAAGCGUUACUCGGAAUCACUGGGCGUAAAGCGCACGUAGGCGGACCUUUAAGUCAGGGGUGAAAGCCUGGAGCUCAACUCCAGAACUGCCUUUGAUACUGGAGGUCUCGAGUGUGGAAGAGGUUGGUGGAACUGCGAGUGUAGAGGUGAAAUUCGUAGAUAUUCGCAAGAACACCAGUGGCGAAGGCGGCCAACUGGUCCAUUACUGACGCUGAGGUGCGAAAGCGUGGGGAGCAAACAGG